Molecule: long non-coding RNA, 1141 nt
Organism: Leptonychotes weddellii (Weddell seal)
Lineage: Eukaryota; Metazoa; Chordata; Mammalia; Carnivora; Phocidae
Source: RefSeq, a predicted model, not a curated record
CUUGCCUGAUAGGUCUCAGAUUUUGGAAAUGCAAUGUUUGAUGAUACUACUUAAGCCUCUACAGGAUUAAAUUUACAGAUCUUACCACCCAGAGGUGUUUAAGACUUGGUUCUGGUGUGUUUCAGAAAGCUUCACAUGUGAGAUAAAUGCACUCAAAGACUCCUCACAAGUAGCUCUUUGGAGCUUCAGAUGUGAAAUGGAUCAUUCCUCAAUCUGUAAUAGACCCUUCUGUGAAGCUCUUCAAUCAAACCUGAGAAUUCAAGGCAUUUUGUAGCAUCCUAAACAGAAGGAUAUUGAAGGGAGCUGAUUCUGCUUUGAUCCUUGUGCUUGUUGUCAAAGCGCUUGGGAUUGAAGAGACUGUUGGCUACAAUUGACUGUGACAAUUAGGAGAUGAUCAGAGCCCUAGAGUGGAGCACUUAAAGGGUUUGCAUUUAAAACACUCUUGGAGCACUAAUUGUAUAAAAUUCUGGUAACUGCACAUUCUCUUUUUAGAGAGGUAAUGAGCGAAUGAAUGAAAAGGCAGGGAUUAUUUGCCAUUCUAAGAGCUGGGAUUGUCAGAACAUUUCUACUUGACUGAAAUUGUUUUGGAAGGUGAGCUGGAACAAGAAUCUUGCAACUAAAAUGAAGUGACUCUGCAUGUGGUUUUGGGAUGUUUCUGUUCAUCAAAGAACUCUACAGAACUGCUCUGGGACUUAGAAGUUGAUUUAGAUUUUAUUUAUGAAAGAAUAUUUAGGUGAAUCCUAUGAAAACAUUUUAAAGUACGCAUAUUUGACUCUUAACAAGUAAGUGGGAGUCUUUUGAAGGCUCAUUUGGAAUUAUUUGAAAAGAGUUUUCCUAUUACUAUCACAGUGUUUUUUCAAUAUACAAAUUGCCCUGUUGUGACAAAAUAAAUUAUUGAAAUGCUUUGAAAAGUUUUUAGAAAUGUGCCCAAGGAAACAAUAUGUAAAGUGUUAAAGUUAAUUCACAUGUCAAUUUAUUGAAAUGUUGCUGCUACUGAAAAGUCCAAGAACCUUUAGCACAACAUUGCAGAACAUUUACAGUCUUGUUUUAAUGAGCAGCUCUUUCUUUGUAUGUGUUUGGAGGUGGCAAUAGAGUUGCUAGAUAUAGCAAAUAAAAAUAAAGAAUUCCCAGUAAAUUUGAA